GACGAACGCUGGCGGCGUGCUUAACACAUGCAAGUCGAACGGAAAGGCCCUGCUUGCCGGGUACUCGAGUGGCGAACGGGUGAGUAACACGUGGGUGAUCUGCCCUGCACUUCGGGAUAAGCCUGGGAAAAUGGGUCUAAUACCGGAUAGGAGACAUUUUUAUUGUGAUGGUUGGAAAGUUUUUUUGGCGUGGGAUGAGCUCGCGGCCUAUCAGUUUGGUGGUGGGGUAAUGGCCUACCUAGGCGACGGCGGGUAGCCGGCCUGGGGGGGUGGACGGCCACAGUGGGACUGGGAUACGGCCCAGACGCCUACGGGGGGCAACAGGGGGGAAUAUUGCACAAUGGGCGCGAGCCUGAUGCAGCGACGCCGCGGGGGGGAUGACGGCCUUCGGGUUGGAAACGCCUUUCGCUAGGGACGAAGCUUUUUGUGACGGUACCUAGAAAAGAAGCACCGGCUAACUACGUG
This 465-nucleotide ribosomal RNA is filed under the name uncultured bacterium. RNAcentral describes it as "partial 16S ribosomal RNA". It matches the Rfam family "Bacterial small subunit ribosomal RNA", at positions 28 to 507 of the family's 1533-position model. The record is from RNAcentral.